AUUCUUACCUGGACGAGGUCGAUGAGCGAUCAAGAAAGCUCAUGGCCUAGUUUAACGGCCUCCAUUACACAUGGGAGGGAGUGUUAACCUACCAUCUCCCCACAAGUGAGAGAGU
Molecule: small RNA, 115 nt
Filed under: Oryza sativa Japonica Group (Japanese rice)
Lineage: Eukaryota; Viridiplantae; Streptophyta; Magnoliopsida; Poales; Poaceae
Description: sRNA Os01g0846525
Rfam family: U1 spliceosomal RNA
About the family: U1 is a small nuclear RNA (snRNA) component of the spliceosome (involved in pre-mRNA splicing). Its 5' end forms complementary base pairs with the 5' splice junction, thus defining the 5' donor site of an intron.
Source: RNAcentral